AGCUGGGUAGCUCAGUGGAUUGAGAGCCAGGCCUAGAGACGGGAGGUCCUAGGUUCAAAUCUGGCCCAGCUG
Monodelphis domestica (gray short-tailed opossum) is the source of this 72-nucleotide transfer RNA. It matches the Rfam family "tRNA". Rfam says of the family: Transfer RNA (tRNA) molecules are approximately 80 nucleotides in length. The record is from Rfam. Lineage: Eukaryota; Metazoa; Chordata; Mammalia; Didelphimorphia; Didelphidae.